Molecule: ribosomal RNA, 392 nt
Filed under: uncultured bacterium
Lineage: Bacteria
Description: bacterial SSU rRNA
Rfam family: Bacterial small subunit ribosomal RNA
Source: RNAcentral
GACGAACGCUGGCGGCGUGCUUAACACAUGCAAGUCGAGCGGUAAGGCCCUUUCGGGGGUACACGAGCGGCGAACGGGUGAGUAACACGUGGGUGACCUGCCCUCAGCUCUGGGAUAAGCCUGGGAAACCGGGUCUAAUACUGGAUAUGACUCCAUGACGCAUGUUGUGGGGUGGAAAGCCUUGUGCGGCUGAGGAUGGGCCCGCGGCCUAUCAGCUUGUUGGGGGGUGAUGGCCUACCAAGGUGACGACGGGUAGCCGGCCUGAGAGGGCGACCGGCCACACUGGGACUGAGACACGGCCCAGACUCCUACGGGAGGCAGCAGUGGGGAAUCUUGCGCAAUGGGCGAAAGCCUGACGCAGCGACGCCGCGUGAGGGAUGACGGCCUGGUGU